Molecule: ribosomal RNA, 342 nt
Filed under: uncultured eukaryote
Lineage: Eukaryota
Description: SSU rRNA
Rfam family: Eukaryotic small subunit ribosomal RNA
Source: RNAcentral
AUAGCGUAUAUUAAAGUUGUUGCAGUUAAAAAGCUCGUAGUUGGAUUUCUGGGAGGGUGCCAAUGUCCGCUCGUUCGCGUGUGCAGCGGCGCCCUUCCAUCCUUCUGUUAACGUUUCUUGGUAUUCAGUUACUGGUUUCGGGCUCAGAUAUUUUACCUUGAGAAAAUUAGAGUGUUUCAGGCAGGCUUGCGCCGGAAUACAUUAGCAUGGAAUAAUAGAAUAGGACUUUAGUCUCCUUUGUUGGUUUGAGGGACUGAAGUAAUGAUUAAUAGGGAUAGUUGGGGGCAUUAGUAUUUAAUCGUCAGAGGUGAAAUUCUUGGAUCGAUUGAAGACUAACUACUG